Molecule: transfer RNA, 71 nt
Filed under: Colletes gigas
Lineage: Eukaryota; Metazoa; Arthropoda; Insecta; Hymenoptera; Colletidae
Description: tRNA-Leu
Source: RNAcentral
AUUAUUUUAGCAUAUAAGUGCAAUUAAAUUUAGAAUUUAAAUAUAUAUAUAAUAUAAUUAUAUAAAUAAUA